UACGGAGGGCGCGAGCGUUACCCGGAUUUACUGGGCGUAAAGGGCGUGUAGGCGGCUUGGGGCGUCGCAUGUGAAAGGCCACGGCUCAACCGUGGAGGAGCGUGGGAUACGCUCAGGCUAGACGGUGGGAGAGGGUGGUGGAAUUCCCGGAGUAGCGGUGAAAUGCGCAGAUACCGGGAGGAACGCCGAUGGCGAAGGCAGCCACCUGGUCCACAUGUGACGCUGAGGAGCGAAAGCGUGGGGAGCAAACCGG
Molecule: ribosomal RNA, 253 nt
Filed under: uncultured bacterium
Lineage: Bacteria
Description: partial 16S ribosomal RNA
Rfam family: Bacterial small subunit ribosomal RNA
Source: RNAcentral